Pelobates cultripes (western spadefoot toad) is the source of this 224-nucleotide non-coding RNA. The record is from the annotation of a GenBank genome assembly. NCBI's taxonomy places the organism in Eukaryota, Metazoa, Chordata, Amphibia, Anura, Pelobatidae.
CUCCAAUUUCCUCAGACCAAUCAGCACACAGGAUAUUCAGGAUCACCUUAUAUGGACAGACCACAUGGCAUUUACAGACAAAGGAAUGUACUAUCCACUUCCACACAUGCUCAGUAUACUGAUGACUCAUCCAACGGUUUGUAAUCAGAUACUAAUUAGCAUAUGUGUGUAAUUGAUAGGAUAUUUUGGGAUACUGCUAGUAUACCUAUAAUAGAGAACAAAAC